UACGGAGGGUGCGAGCGUUAAUCGGAAUUACUGGGCGUAAAGCGUGCGCAGGCGGCUUUGUAAGUCAGAUGUGAAAUCCCCGGGCUUAACCUGGGAAUGGCAUUUGGGACUGCAAGGCUCGAGUGCGGCAGAGGAGACUGGAAUUCCUGGUGUAGCAGUGAAAUGCGUAGAUAUCAGGAGGAACACCGAUGGCGAAGGCAGGUCUCUGGGCUGACACUGACGCUCAUGCACGAAAGCGUGGGGAGCAAACAGG
RNAcentral lists this ribosomal RNA (253 nucleotides) under uncultured bacterium. Its description in RNAcentral is "partial 16S ribosomal RNA". It matches the Rfam family "Bacterial small subunit ribosomal RNA", at positions 524 to 776 of the family's 1533-position model. The record is from RNAcentral.